AUGUACCCCGUGGCUUGGGCUGUAGUUGAGCAGGAAACAAAUGAAUCUUGGAAGUGGUUUGUUGCCUUGCUCAUUAAAGAUAUGGAUAUCAGCAACAAUGGAGAAGGCUGGGUGUUUAUUUCUGAUCAGCAAAAGGGCCUACUAAAUGCAGUGAAGGAUUAUCUUCCUGCUACACAGCACAGGAUGUGUCCUAGACACAUAUAUGCUAACUGGAGGAAGAAACACAGAGAUCAUGAGUGGCAGAAGAAAUUUUGGGCAGUUGCCAAAGCUUCAAACAGGCAAGACUUCAACUACUACAAAGCCAAGCUAGCACAGGAGACACCUGAAGGGGCUAAAGACAUAAUGAGAACAGAAUCUGUUCAUUGGGCUAGGGAAUUUUUUCCAGUGGGUUCAAACUGUGAAUCAAUAGACAACAACCUCUGUGAGUCAUUCAAUCAUGCUAUAGUGGAUGCUAGGUUCUAUCCUAUAAUCUCUAUGCUAGAGAAAAUUAGGAAGAAAAUACUAGUGAGAAUUCAAGAACAAAGAUUGAAAGGAGAGAAGUUUACAGGAAAAAUAUUGUUGGAAAUAUGCCCUAGAGGCAAUAAUAAAAGUAUUAUUAUUAUAUUUCCUUGUUCAUGA
Molecule: ribosomal RNA, 618 nt
Filed under: Triticum aestivum (bread wheat)
Lineage: Eukaryota; Viridiplantae; Streptophyta; Magnoliopsida; Poales; Poaceae
Description: partial small subunit ribosomal RNA
Source: RNAcentral